GCGAUUCAUUCCAGCAAUUCUUAUCCCACAGAUGAGCCUCAUAUCUGCCCGUCCAUCGAUGCCUAGGGUUUACAGAAGCGCAAUCGAAGUCAGAAUCAGUCGACAGAGACAGAGAGAGACGAAGAAGAAGAAGAAGCUUGUAGAGAAGCAAGCAAGGGCGAUGAAUAAAACCUAGUAACGCCGCGGUAAAUGGAGCUUCGUUGAGGAGGCGAAUCUCUCGUUGUUGCGAUGUGGAUUUCGCCAUUGUGAAAUUUCCAAGAAGUUUAAAAUUGACGAUAAAAGUUAUGAAGGAAGGAAAUAGGUUAUAUAAUCUCGAGAUCGGAGGCGAUGAUGAGUGGAGUUAGGGCUGGCGUUCAAUUGAAUAUAGAGCUAGCUGUAAGGUAACCGGCCAUGGACCUUAUCCUUUUCUUCUUAUUUUGCUAAUGCUUCAUCAAUCGGUUUUUUA
Cucurbita maxima (winter squash) is the source of this 445-nucleotide long non-coding RNA. RefSeq lists it as uncharacterized. Lineage: Eukaryota; Viridiplantae; Streptophyta; Magnoliopsida; Cucurbitales; Cucurbitaceae. The transcript has 2 exons. The record is from RefSeq and is a predicted model, not a curated record.